RNAcentral lists this transfer RNA (30 nucleotides) under Potentilla bimundorum. RNAcentral's name for it is "partial tRNA-His". The record is from RNAcentral. Lineage: Eukaryota; Viridiplantae; Streptophyta; Magnoliopsida; Rosales; Rosaceae.
GGCGGAUGUAGCCAANUGGAUCAAGGCAGU